Molecule: ribosomal RNA, 1361 nt
Filed under: Glutamicibacter arilaitensis
Lineage: Bacteria; Bacillati; Actinomycetota; Actinomycetes; Micrococcales; Micrococcaceae
Description: bacterial SSU rRNA
Rfam family: Bacterial small subunit ribosomal RNA
Source: RNAcentral
GAUGAAGCCCAGCUUGCUGGGUGGAUUAGUGGCGAACGGGUGAGUAACACGUGAGUAACCUGCCCCCGACUCUGGGAUAAGCCCGGGAAACUGGGUCUAAUACCGGAUAUUACCUUUGACCGCAUGGUUGUUGGUGGAAAGAUUUAUCGGUGGGGGAUGGACUCGCGGCCUAUCAGCUUGUUGGUGAGGUAAUGGCUCACCAAGGCGACGACGGGUAGCCGGCCUGAGAGGGUGACCGGCCACACUGGGACUGAGACACGGCCCAGACUCCUACGGGAGGCAGCAGUGGGGAAUAUUGCACAAUGGGCGAAAGCCUGAUGCAGCGACGCCGCGUGAGGGAUGACGGCCUUCGGGUUGUAAACCUCUUUCAGUAGGGAAGAAGCGAAAGUGACGGUACCUGCAGAAGAAGCGCCGGCUAACUACGUGCCAGCAGCCGCGGUAAUACGUAGGGCGCAAGCGUUAUCCGGAUUUAUUGGGCGUAAAGAGCUCGUAGGCGGUUUGUCGCGUCUGCCGUGAAAGUCCGAGGCUCAACCUCGGAUCUGCGGUGGGUACGGGCAGACUAGAGUGAUGUAGGGGAGACUGGAAUUCCUGGUGUAGCGGUGAAAUGCGCAGAUAUCAGGAGGAACACCGAUGGCGAAGGCAGGUCUCUGGGCAUUUACUGACGCUGAGGAGCGAAAGCAUGGGGAGCGAACAGGAUUAGAUACCCUGGUAGUCCAUGCCGUAAACGUUGGGCACUAGGUGUGGGGGACAUUCCACGUUUUCCGCGCCGUAGCUAACGCAUUAAGUGCCCCGCCUGGGGAGUACGGCCGCAAGGCUAAAACUCAAAGGAAUUGACGGGGGCCCGCACAAGCGGCGGAGCAUGCGGAUUAAUUCGAUGCAACGCGAAGAACCUUACCAAGGCUUGACAUGUGCCAGACCGCCUCAGAGAUGGGGUUUCCCUUCGGGGCUGGUUCACAGGUGGUGCAUGGUUGUCGUCAGCUCGUGUCGUGAGAUGUUGGGUUAAGUCCCGCAACGAGCGCAACCCUCGUUCCAUGUUGCCAGCACGUAAAGGUGGGGACUCAUGGGAGACUGCCGGGGUCAACUCGGAGGAAGGUGGGGAUGACGUCAAAUCAUCAUGCCCCUUAUGUCUUGGGCUUCACGCAUGCUACAAUGGCCGGUACAAUGGGUUGCGAUACUGUGAGGUGGAGCUAAUCCCUAAAAGCCGGUCUCAGUUCGGAUUGGGGUCUGCAACUCGACCCCAUGAAGUCGGAGUCGCUAGUAAUCGCAGAUCAGCAACGCUGCGGUGAAUACGUUCCCGGGCCUUGUACACACCGCCCGUCAAGUCACGAAAGUUGGUAACACCCGAAGCCGAUGGCCUAACC